Molecule: long non-coding RNA, 2001 nt
Filed under: Piliocolobus tephrosceles (Ugandan red Colobus)
Lineage: Eukaryota; Metazoa; Chordata; Mammalia; Primates; Cercopithecidae
Description: lncRNA (ENSPTEG00000025069.1)
Source: RNAcentral
CGUGAAUAUUGAUCCAAAUAAUUUUAAUUUGUUGCAUUCACAUAAAAAUAGGUUAUAUGCGAAUAAAUACUUUUCUAAUAUGUACAUACUUUUUUUUAAAAUUGCAUAUUUGAUUAAUGACUACGAAUUUGACAGGUUUGUUUAUAAUGUUACAGGUGGUAUUCAAAUAAUAGACAAUGUAGUGUUAAAUAAAAUGGAUAAUUUUGAAGAUAAUUAUGUAACUGUCAUAGAAGCUAUAGAAUACGCGUUACAUGAUAAUUUUGGAAUAAGCAUUUACGAAGAAACAGUAGAUUCAGUCGAAUUAGUAAACGAAAUAGCUCUUUUAUCAGCCUAUCUUGUAGAGUUGACAUCUGCUUAUAAACGUACUAAUACGGAAAUUACUACGAAAGGAGCAAAUGAUGAAAACAUACGUACAAAAUUACAACCUUUGGCUAACAUCAAAUAUUUUGUUUUUAUAAACGAUUCUGAAUAUAGCAACAAUGACGUAACUAUUAAUGAUGUACAAGCAGCAUUAGUGAAGCUAAACACGCUUGUGAUAAUGAAAAAAACAUUUAGUUGUUCUGACUUUGUAGACGUUCUUUCAAAUUCGUUAGAAUAUUAUAUUGGAUAUAAUUACAUAACUAAGAGUAAUAAAGUUUUAACAGACAAGGAGGAUCUCCAAAAAACACGCGUUACAACUAUUGCAAAAAAUAUAAUAAACAUAUGGUUAGGUCGUGAAAUUAUUUAUAGAUACGAUUAUGAUGGGCUCGGAGAAAAAAAGGCAAAAAAAUUGGCUACAGAAAUUAUGAAUAACUCAGGAUAUUAUUCUAAAAAAGAGAAAGGAUUUAACGUUUAUCCAUACUGUAUAGAUUUAGAUAUGAUCAAUCAUGAUGAUAAUGUGAUAAGAAAGUUUUCAACCCAAAUGGACAAGCAUGGUACUGCUGUUUUUAUAACAAUGGAUAAAGAUUUAAUCAAUUCGAAGUUAGAAAUGAUUGAUACUGAUAAACAUUUAGUAUACUUUUUAUUUAGAAAUUUAUCAGUACCAUAUAUCGGAAGAUCACAUCGUAAAGAAGCAUUAUCUACUAAACGGAUAAUAUUGGUAAAAGGUAGGGUAUAUAAUGAAAGUAGGAGUAGUUCGGAAAUUGUAUAUAAAAGUUAUUUAGAUAGUAUCAAUCACAGUGCACUUUAUAUGUUAGAAAGAGUGAUAUUUGUCACAGGUACUGCAGAUAAGAUAAUAAAAGAAGUAAACGUAGAGUAUCAAACAUUUUUUGUGCAUCCUCAUGAAAUGAUUGAUGAGGUGGUAUUAAAUAAAAAUCCGCAUGUAAAAAUGAGCGAAACAUAUUAUGAUAAAAAUACAACAUGUUUACAUUACAACAAUGGAGUACAAUCUUGUGAUGUGGAUGUAUAUAAAGAUUCUGAUUUAUCACCAGUGUAUGUAUCUUAUUUAGAAAAUAACCAAAGAAAAGAUAUUAUUUUUACAAAGAAUGAUGAUGUAUCGAACUUGGUUCAUAACGACGCAAAGGUAUUAUCUGAACGAUAUAAGAUUAAGUUAGACGGAUCAAAGAUGUCAGCAGAUGUAUAUAACACUGUAGAAGCAAUUGUAUAUGAAAUUACUAGUUUAAUGCAAAUAAAAGAGUUUGGACAUAGUAAUUGUUCUCCGUUAGUUCUAAAUGAUGGUAGAUUACACACAUUGAGCACAGAUCCUUCUAUUCUGAUUUCAAGUAUCGGAAAUGAGAGAAGAAAUUGUAUUAAUGUAGUGGCGAUAUAUAAAAAGAUAUUGGAAAAUUGCAAUUUUAGUAAAGAGCAACUAAAACUACUAUUUGGAGGUGUUGAGAGUAAUAUAUUACCUGUUCAUUUGGACGAAGAGUUUGGUAAUGCGUUAAAACUAGAUGAGUUACUAAAAUUGAUUUAUCUUUUUGUGACGAUACCUGAUAAACUAUUAAAAAUAAUUAAAGUAAUUACUAGAAGUAAUGCGACAAUAGGUGAAUUAGUACAAGGUAGGGGGGAUGAAGCAAACGAUGA